GGAAUGCAGCAAUUGCCUUUUCAUGUAGAAUAUAUUUAUCUCCUUGGCACAGAAGAUGGAUGCUAACCGAAUAACUACAUCUUGGCAGAAUCUCAUUUAGUAAACAUACACUCCACGUGCAAAAAGUUGUACAUAGCCAAAUGAAGAAUCUGAAGAUGGCAAAGCAGCAAACGCAAGGCCAAUGACUUGAAGGGUUUCCAACAGAGAGCCAGAAAAUUACAGGUCAUUCAUCUUAACAUCUGUUCUAGGCAGCCCAGUGGAAAGCAUCCUUAACUAUGAAAUUAUCAGGUGUAUAGAAAGAGGAGGCUCGCUGAAACAGAAUCGACAUGAGUUCUGGGCAGAUGUCCAUCAUCCUUUCGGGUCUUAUCCACAUCUUCCGACCACUCCUAUCCUCCCUUUCCGGUGCACUCGACUGCGAGGGCUUAGGACCAUGGUACUUCCUGCUGGGCCUUCGCAUUGUGGCCAUUUUCUUCUCAAACGGGCCAUGGGACUCAGUGAAGGAGGACGUGGCCUGCAAUUGGGUGGCCCCCAUCGAAGACAAGUCACGGGACUUCUGCACAACCCUAUGUCACAACCUCCACUUCCCAUUCUCUGUGGCCGGGGUGUGGGGACUUGUGUUCAUUGCCCUGCUACUCCUGGUGGGACUCAUGAGACUGAGCAGCCCAAAGAAGAAAAAAGAAGAUGGAGAAAAUGGGAAUGGAAACGGGAACGGGAACGGGAACGGGAAAGAGGAUAAAGAAAAAGGCUUAGCUAUUGUGGAAAAGGCACCGCAUGGGAGCACUGCUGACAUGUCCACCGUCUACUGGGUUGGGCGUCGUGGUCUCCCUAGACGCUACGGGGCCUACCGUUCUCACCCCCACCAUCCCCACUACUACUACGGCCACCAUGAUUGGCAUGAUUGGGCUGAUUGGCACGGGGCACCCAUGGUUGGUGAACAUUAUCCUGAUACGGGCUUUGUUCCACCGGACGUUGGAGGCUAUGGCAUGCCUAUCCAUCAGGAGCACAUUAGCCAGACCAAAAUGCCCGACCACUACUAUGACAUGGCUCAAACCAAAACGGGUGCCUACCCAAAGGACAUAAAGCAAAGCAACAAGCCCACACAUGGCCCUGGAACAGAACAAUAUGCAAUGUCUAGCUCCCCAGGUCAGGUGAGACAAACCCGUAGUGCACCCUAUUAUGCAGAAAAGGGACAGUAUAGUGCACCCACCAAGAGUAUCCCUAUUCCCAUUCAUGGCUCACCCCAUAGAGGCAAGAUAACCCCCCGUGGUUCUCCUGGCAAUGAACAUGAUGAGACCUUCCAGCAGAGGUAUAUUAACCCCAAUGACUGUACAAAAUACACUGGCCAAAGUAAGAUGAUGCCUAGAUACUGUGAAGAUGGCCAAUAUGGCAUGGCAUCCAAAUGCAGGCCAGACAUUGAAGGGAGCAUGGGCCAGAUUGCUGUAGUAGAUGACAGUCCAAACAUGGCCAUCAAGCGUCGGCCAGUUCAGGGGACUAAAACACACACAAAACACCAUGUGAAUUUUGAUGCUGCUGGCAACACGUAUGCCCAACCUUGCAUGACCAAGGAUCCCAGCUGCAAGCCCGCUGGUGGGAAGAAAACCAUGGCCGGACCAAGCACUGGGGCAAGCCAUGGCAAUGCAGCCUGUAUGUGCACUAACACAGAUCCAUGUCACAUGGGCCACAAAUGGGAAGCCCAUUGGGAACCCCCUUGUGAGCCCUGCUGCAGGGCUGAGCCCACCCACCGCGAGGGGCAUGGAAGUCGGGGAACUGCUCCUGGGACACAGGAGGAAGCCAAGAUGUCUAUCAGGAAAAUCUGUGGCGUGCCGCUCUUUGACAUCUGGGUGGCCCUUCUUCUUGCGAUGGAGAUCGGCUUCCUCUGUGUUGUGAUUCUUUUUCAGGUGCCCACUCUUUUGGGGAGGUCAUGGAUCUGUACGCCAGGAGCUUCUGGGUGUCCCCAAAGUGUCGAAUGCACUAUCAAAGGGAGGGCCGAAAAGCGAGUGGCUCUCUGGGGACUAGUGUUCACCUCCAUUCUUUUUAUAAUCGCCUGUAGCGGCUACUUUAACCUACGCUUCUGCUGGAAUCAGCGGUGCCAACAAAUGUGCAACGGGGAGGAAAGUGGGGAUGAAGCAAUCACUGAGACAGGAAAGCGGGAUGAGGAGGAAGGUGGCAAUGAGAACAAGGAAGGAGACUGAAGAAGGAGAAGAGAUG
Anolis carolinensis (green anole) is the source of this 2208-nucleotide long non-coding RNA. The record is from Ensembl. NCBI's taxonomy places the organism in Eukaryota, Metazoa, Chordata, Lepidosauria, Squamata, Anolidae.